Molecule: transfer RNA, 844 nt
Filed under: uncultured Synechococcus sp.
Lineage: Bacteria; Bacillati; Cyanobacteriota; Cyanophyceae; Synechococcales; Synechococcaceae
Description: partial contains 16S ribosomal RNA, 16S-23S ribosomal RNA intergenic spacer, and 23S ribosomal RNA
Rfam family: tRNA (bases 284-356)
Source: RNAcentral
UUGGAUCACCUCCUAACAGGGAGACAAACAACGAUUUUGAUGUCUGAGUUAUUUAUUCUUAGGCCAAAAUCCUGUCACUUUAGGUCGAUCGGUACCUCAACUUUUAAGCUAAGAGAAUUCCAGCAAUGGUUGUCUGCUUAGUGGAGAUUUUUAGUUCCUAAACUUUGUCUAGUUCACAACCCAUUAGGGAUGAGACUCCUGGGCCAUUAGCUCAGGUGGUUAGAGCGCACCCCUGAUAAGGGUGAGGUCCCUGGUUCAAGUCCAGGAUGGCCCAUUCGGUGUAGGGGGUUUAGCUCAGUUGGUAGAGCGCCUGCUUUGCAAGCAGGAUGUCAGGAGUUCGAGUCUCCUAACCUCCACUGACUACCAAAAUCCCCAUCUCCAAAACCUGGAGUAUGAACUCGUAUGGAUUGUGAUUUAGAUUUGUCCGCUAGAUGACCCUAGCUUCUUGUCAUUUUAAGCCAUGGAAAUAAUUCCAUGAUUUGAUUGAUAGGACGCUGGGCUCGAUGCAAUGUAUUGAGAGAUCAAUGCAUUGUUUUGAUGUCUAGCCGAACCUUGACAACUGCAUAGUUUAAGUCUGGAAAGAAUAAAGCAUCUUUAUGGAUGCAUCAUUUUUUUGUGUUAAUGCAUGAAGGAGUGAUGUUAAUUCUAAAGCAAGAGCCGAGACUCCAGUAUGUUCUUUCAAAUGUGUCGAGCAUUUGGGAGUUUGAUUUUAAUUUCUAUUUUUAGAUUCUAAUUUUAGAAAUUAGAAAAAUCUGUUUCAACAACAGCAAGCGUGCUGGAGAUACAUUGGUCAAGCUACAAAGGGCUCACGGCGGAUACCUUGGCACACAGAGGCGAUGAAGGA